RNAcentral lists this small nucleolar RNA (94 nucleotides) under Nestor notabilis (Kea). RNAcentral's name for it is "Small nucleolar RNA SNORD35". It matches the Rfam family "Small nucleolar RNA SNORD35". Rfam says of the family: U35 is a C/D box snoRNA located in intron 6 of ribosomal protein L13A and intron 3 of ribosomal protein S11 in humans and at homologous positions in mouse and chicken ribosomal protein genes. Lineage: Eukaryota; Metazoa; Chordata; Aves; Psittaciformes; Psittacidae. The record is from Rfam by way of RNAcentral.
UGCACGUGAUGUCUUUCUCUCACGAUGGUCUUCCAAGCCCCCCUGGUGAAGGGGCUUUGCUGACAGCACCAUGUGGCUUUGCUGAUGCCCAGCC